CCUACGGGAGGCAGCAGUGAGGAAUAUUGGUCAAUGGACGAGAGUCUGAACCAGCCAAGUAGCGUGAAGGAUGACUGCCCUAUGGGUUGUAAACUUCUUUUAUAUGGGAAUAAACUGUUCCACGUGUGGGAUUUUGUAUGUACCAUAUGAAUAAGGAUCGGCUAACUCCGUGCCAGCAGCCGCGGUAAUACGGAGGAUCCGAGCGUUAUCCGGAUUUAUUGGGUUUAAAGGGAGCGUAGGUGGAUUGUUAAGUCAGUUGUGAAAGUUUGCGGCUCAACCGUAAAAUUGCAGUUGAAACUGGCAGUCUUGAGUACAGGAGAGGUGGGCGGAAUUCGUGGUGUAGCGGUGAAAGGCUUAGAUAUCACGAAGAACUCCGAUUGCGAAGGCAGCUCACUGGACUGCAACUGACACUGAGGCUCGAAAGUGUGGGUAUCAAACAGGAUUAGAUACCCGAGUAGUC
This 460-nucleotide ribosomal RNA is filed under the name uncultured bacterium. RNAcentral's name for it is "partial 16S ribosomal RNA". It matches the Rfam family "Bacterial small subunit ribosomal RNA", at positions 338 to 795 of the family's 1533-position model. The record is from RNAcentral.